CGAAAGCAUUUGCCAAGGAUGUUUUCAUUGAUAAGGAACGAAAGUUAGGGGAUCGAAGACGAUCAGAUACCGUCGUAGUCUUAACUAUAAACUAUGCCGACUAGGGAUCGGACGAUGUUAUUCUUUGACGCGUUCGGCACCUUUCGAGAAAUCAAAGUGCUUGGGCUCCAGGGGGAGUAUGGUCGCAAGGCUGAAACUUAAAGAAAUUGACGGAAGGGCACCACCAGGGGUGGAACCUGCGGCUUAAUUUGACUCAACACGGGGAAACUCACCAGGUCCAGACACAGUGAGGAUUGACAGAUUGAGAGCUCUUUCUUGAUUCUGUGGGUGGUGGUGCAUGGCCGUUCUUAGUUGGUGGAGUGAUUUGUCUGCUUAAUUGCGAUAACGAACGAGACCUU
RNAcentral lists this ribosomal RNA (398 nucleotides) under Lomentospora prolificans. Its description in RNAcentral is "Scedosporium prolificans Eukaryotic small subunit ribosomal RNA". It matches the Rfam family "Eukaryotic small subunit ribosomal RNA", at positions 946 to 1344 of the family's 1831-position model. Lineage: Eukaryota; Fungi; Ascomycota; Sordariomycetes; Microascales; Microascaceae. The record is from Rfam by way of RNAcentral.